This 460-nucleotide ribosomal RNA is filed under the name uncultured bacterium. RNAcentral describes it as "partial 16S ribosomal RNA". It matches the Rfam family "Bacterial small subunit ribosomal RNA", at positions 338 to 795 of the family's 1533-position model. The record is from RNAcentral.
CCUACGGGUGGCAGCAGUGAGGAAUAUUGGUCAAUGGACGAGAGUCUGAACCAGCCAAGCAGCGUGAAGGAGGACGGUCCUAUGGGUUGUAAACUUCUUUUAUAUGGGAAUAAAAUGGUCGACGUGUGGGAGGUUGUAUGUACCAUAUGAAUAAGGAUCGGCUAACUCCGUGCCAGCAGCCGCGGUAAUACGGAGGAUCCGAGCGUUAUCCGGAUUUAUUGGGUUUAAAGGGAGCGUAGGUGGAUUGUUAAGUCAGUUGUGAAAGUUUGCGGCUCAACCGUAAAAUUGCAGUUGAUACUGGCAGUCUUGAGUACAGUAGAGGUAGGCGGAAUUCGUGGUGUAGCGGUGAAAUGCUUAGAUAUCACGAAGAACUCCGAUUGCGAAGGCAGCUCGCUGGACUGUAACUGACGCUGAGGCUCGAAAGUGUGGGUAUCAAACAGGAUUAGAUACCCUUGUAGUC